RNAcentral lists this ribosomal RNA (382 nucleotides) under Panaque armbrusteri. RNAcentral describes it as "partial 16S ribosomal RNA". It matches the Rfam family "Bacterial large subunit ribosomal RNA", at positions 1998 to 2543 of the family's 2925-position model. The record is from RNAcentral. Lineage: Eukaryota; Metazoa; Chordata; Actinopteri; Siluriformes; Loricariidae.
GGUGGAACGAGGGCUUAACUGUCUCCCCCCUCUAGUCAAUGAAAUUGAUCUACCCGUGCAGAAGCGGGUAUAAUAAUACAAGACGAGAAGACCCUUUGGAGCUUAAGACAAAAAACCAACUAUGUCAAAAGUCCUAGAAACUAAACCAAAUAGCACUGGUCCCAGUCUUCGGUUGGGGUGACCGCGGGAGAAAAUAAAGCUCCCAUGCGGACUGGGGUCCCCCUAAAACUAAGAGAGACAUCUCUAAGGCACAGAACAUCUGACCAAAAAGAUCCGGCUACAUGCCGACCAACGAACCAAGUUACCCUAGGGAUAACAGCGCAAUCCCCUUCCAGAGUCCAUAUCGACGAGGGGGUUUACGACCUCGAUGUUGGAUCAGGAC